AUACGGAGGAUCCGAGCGUUAUCCGGAUUUAUUGGGUUUAAAGGGUGCGCAGGCGGCCAUUUAAGUCAGCGGUUAAAUCGUGGGGCUCAACCCCAUUCUGCCGUUGAUACUGGGUGGCUUGAUUGCGGUCGAGGUUGGCGGAAUUCGUUGUGUAGCGGUGAAAUGCAUAGAUAUGACGAAGAACACCGAUUGCGUAGGCAGCUGACCAGACCGCAAAUGACGCUCAUGCACGAAAGUGCGGGGAUCGAACAGGAUUAGAUACCCUGGUAGUCCGCACAGUAAACGAUGAAUACUUGUUUUCGGCGAUAUAAUGUCGGAGGCAAAGCGAAAGCGAUAAGUAUUCCACCUGGGGAGUACGCCGGCAACGGUGAAACUCAAAGGAAUUGACGGGGG
This 393-nucleotide ribosomal RNA is filed under the name uncultured bacterium. RNAcentral describes it as "partial 16S ribosomal RNA". It matches the Rfam family "Bacterial small subunit ribosomal RNA", at positions 523 to 919 of the family's 1533-position model. The record is from RNAcentral.